This 2215-nucleotide ribosomal RNA is filed under the name Serratia marcescens. RNAcentral's name for it is "partial 23S ribosomal RNA". It matches the Rfam family "Bacterial large subunit ribosomal RNA", at positions 1 to 2228 of the family's 2925-position model. The record is from RNAcentral. Lineage: Bacteria; Pseudomonadati; Pseudomonadota; Gammaproteobacteria; Enterobacterales; Yersiniaceae.
GGGUUGUGAGGUUAAGUGACUAAGCGUACACGGUGGAUGCCUAGGCAGUCAGAGGCGAUGAAGGGCGUGCUAAUCUGCGAAAAGCGUCGGUAAGGUGAUAUGAACCGUUACAACCGGCGAUACCCGAAUGGGGAAACCCAGUGUGUUUCGACACACUAUCAUGUCAUGAAUACAUAGUGGCAUGAGGCGAACCGGGGGAACUGAAACAUCUAAGUACCCCGAGGAAAAGAAAUCAACCGAGAUUCCCCCAGUAGCGGCGAGCGAACGGGGAGGAGCCCAGAACCUGAAUCGGCUUGUGUGUUAGUGGAAGCGUCUGGAAAGUCGCGCAGCAAAGGGUGAUAGCCCCGUACACUAAAAUGCACAGGUCGUGAGUUCGAUGAGUAGGGCGGGACACGUGACAUCCUGUCUGAAUAUGGGGGGACCAUCCUCCAAGGCUAAAUACUCCUGACUGACCGAUAGUGAACCAGUACCGUGAGGGAAAGGCGAAAAGAACCCCGGCGAGGGGAGUGAAAUAGAACCUGAAACCGUGUACGUACAAGCAGUGGGAGCACCUUCGUGGUGUGACUGCGUACCUUUUGUAUAAUGGGUCAGCGACUUAUAUUUUGUAGCAAGGUUAACCGUAUAGGGGAGCCGUAGGGAAACCGAGUCUUAACUGGGCGAUUAGUUGCAAGGUAUAGACCCGAAACCCGGUGAUCUAGCCAUGGGCAGGUUGAAGGUUGGGUAACACUAACUGGAGGACCGAACCGACUAAUGUUGAAAAAUUAGCGGAUGACUUGUGGCUGGGGGUGAAAGGCCAAUCAAACCGGGAGAUAGCUGGUUCUCCCCGAAAGCUAUUUAGGUAGCGCCUCGUGAACUCAUCUUCGGGGGUAGAGCACUGUUUCGGCUAGGGGGCCAUCCCGGCUUACCAAACCGAUGCAAACUCCGAAUACCGAAGAAUGUUAUCACGGGAGACACACGGCGGGUGCUAACGUCCGUCGUGAAGAGGGAAACAACCCAGACCGCCAGCUAAGGUCCCAAAGUCAUGGUUAAGUGGGAAACGAUGUGGGAAGGCACAGACAGCCAGGAUGUUGGCUUAGAAGCAGCCAUCAUUUAAAGAAAGCGUAAUAGCUCACUGGUCGAGUCGGCCUGCGCGGAAGAUGUAACGGGGCUAAACCAUGCACCGAAGCUGCGGCAGCGACGCUUAGGCGUUGUUGGGUAGGGGAGCGUUCUGUAAGCCGUUGAAGGUGGCCUGUGAGGGUUGCUGGAGGUAUCAGAAGUGCGAAUGCUGACAUAAGUAACGAUAAAGCGGGUGAAAAGCCCGCUCGCCGGAAGACCAAGGGUUCCUGUCCAACGUUAAUCGGGGCAGGGUGAGUCGACCCCUAAGGCGAGGCUGAAAAGCGUAGUCGAUGGGAAACAGGUUAAUAUUCCUGUACUUGGUGUUACUGCGAAGGGGGGACGGAGAAGGCUAGGCUGGCCGGGCGACGGUUGUCCCGGUUUAAGCGUGUAGGGGGUGUGACCUGGUAAAUCCGGUUGCAUACUAACCCUGAGGCGUGAUGACGAUGCACUACGGUGCAGAAGUAGUUGAUGCCCUGCUUCCAGGAAAAUCCUCUAAGCUCCAGGUAACAUUAAAUCGUACCCCAAACCGACACAGGUGGUCAGGUAGAGAAUACCAAGGCGCUUGAGAGAACUCGGGUGAAGGAACUAGGCAAAAUGGUGCCGUAACUUCGGGAGAAGGCACGCUGGCAUGUAGGUGAAGUCCCUUGCGGAUGGAGCUGAAGCCAGUCGAAGAUACCAGCUGGCUGCAACUGUUUAAUAAAAACACAGCACUGUGCAAACACGAAAGUGGACGUAUACGGUGUGACGCCUGCCCGGUGCUGGAAGGUUAAUUGAUGGGGUCAGCCGCAAGGCGAAGCUCUUGAUCGAAGCCCCAGUAAACGGCGGCCGUAACUAUAACGGUCCUAAGGUAGCGAAAUUCCUUGUCGGGUAAGUUCCGACCUGCACGAAUGGCGUAAUGAUGGCCAGGCUGUCUCCACCCGAGACUCAGUGAAAUUGAACUCGCUGUGAAGAUGCAGUGUACCCGCGGCAAGACGGAAAGACCCCGUGAACCUUUACUAUAGCUUGACACUGAACAUUGAGCCUUGAUGUGUAGGAUAGGUGGGAGGCUUUGAAGCGUGGACGCCAGUCUGCGUGGAGCCAUCCUUGAAAUACCACCCUUUAAUGUUUGAUGUUCUAACUC